RNAcentral lists this long non-coding RNA (377 nucleotides) under Capsicum annuum. RNAcentral describes it as "long non-coding RNA (CANN_LNC000264)". Lineage: Eukaryota; Viridiplantae; Streptophyta; Magnoliopsida; Solanales; Solanaceae. The record is from RNAcentral.
UUGUCUUUCAAUGUUAUACAACAUUCAUUAUCAUCAAAGUCUAAUGAAUGAAACCCUAAAAGGUUCUAUUUAUAGAUAUUACAAAAAUAGUGUGAAAUGUCCAUAAUACCCCUCAAGGGUGAGGUGCCCAUCAAGUGCAAGAAGUGGGCUGAUUUUGGUGUGUUUAGGCCCUCCUUUACACUUCACUUAUGCACUUCCUUGGAAGGAUUUAUUACGCACUCAUUCACAUCCAUCCUCAUGGUCGUACUUGUAUCGUCCUCCCCUUCUUGAAAAGGAUUCGACCUCGAAUCCGUACCUCACAAAAUUAAGAGAAGACAACAAGCACACAUCCUCAAAAUAUGAGGGGUUAGGGUUAGCAAAAUACACCACAUCACAUU